AUUAGCUAGUUGGUGAGGUAACGGCUCACCAAGCCUACGAUCUAUAGCUGGUCUGAGAGGAUGAUCAGCCACACUGGGACUGAGACACGGCCCAGACUCCUACGGGAGGCAGCAGUGGGGAAUCUUGCACAAUGGGCGAAAGCCUGAUGCAGCCAUGCCGCGUGAAUGAUGAAGGCCUUAGGGUUGUAAAAUUCUUUCGCCAGGGAUGAUAAUGACAGUACCUGGUAAAGAAGCCCCGGCUAACUUCGUGCCAGCAGCCGCGGUAAUACGAAGGGGGCUAGCGUUGUUCGGAAUUACUGGGCGUAAAGCGCACGUAGGCGGACUUUUAAGUCAGAUGUGAAAUCCCGGGGCUCAACCUCGGAACUGCAUUUGAAACUGGAAGUCUGGAGUUCAGGAGAGGUUAGCGGAAUACCGAGUGUAGAGGUGAAAUUCGUAGAUAUUCGGUGGAACACCAGUGGCGAAGGCGGCUAACUGGACUGAUACUGACGCUGAGGUGCGAAAGUGUGGGGAGCAAACAGGAUUAGAUA
RNAcentral lists this ribosomal RNA (527 nucleotides) under uncultured bacterium. RNAcentral describes it as "bacterial SSU rRNA". It matches the Rfam family "Bacterial small subunit ribosomal RNA", at positions 240 to 784 of the family's 1533-position model. The record is from RNAcentral.